CCUCCUGGGGAGGUCCCAUGCUGAGUGACCGUGGGAACAUUGGAUUAACUGUGUGGUCUUGACUCUUGUAGUAUCCUUGAGGUAUUUGCUUUACCUUUUGACCUGAGAUGACCCGGCAAGGUCCCGGUACCAGUUUCGACUGUGACCGUUUAGUGUAUUUUGUUCCAGUGGCCACUGUUGGUGCUGUCGAACACUACGCUUCGAACUGCUGGGUAAGAGCAAGGUACCUUGGGUAAGAGUUGUCAGAGAAGGGUGUGUGGGCACAAGGUCACACCACUCUCGCAACAUAGUGACAGUGGAUCACGAUUUCGGGGCAUGUGACAUGACAGUGUGAACAGUAUCAUCACCUGCAAACCCUCACUGGAGAUAUAUUGUGCCCAAUCAUAUACUCGUAAAUUGUUACAGGUUUUACUUGUGUUAGCACUUGCUAACAAAGGUCAUUUUUUUUUAAGUAGAUUAGUUGGCUAAAGAACCAGCAUAAUUCAAUGCAAAUGCCAUAGUCUUUCAUAGAACUUAAAAUACGGAUUCUCACAGUGAAUCUAUAGAUUUCAUAACUUAAUAUAAAAAAGAAAUAGGUUGGGACAAAUUCAACAAUUAUUACUGUAUAGACUUUAUGAAUCAAAACUGUUGGUCUUUAUAUAUGAAAUAGAAUAAAAUCCCUGGCUCAGUUUGAAAUCCUACGCUCAAAUAGUUGAAAACUCAAAAAAAUAUGUAUACAUAUUUGUAGAAUUACAUAGCUUAAAAUUUUACAGAUCACAUUCAUACUUUAAAAACCGAAGACUUUCAUCCCUCAAAAUCCUAAUUACUCUUAUUCCUUUAAGUAUCAUUACGUUCUGAAUUAUAAGUUUCGUUAUAAUUUGAUGAAACUGCUUUCCAGAAUUUAUUAUUGCACUAUUGGUAGAAGCCUUUAGUAACUUGCGUCUAAUUCAGAUUUUAGACUUGGCACUCCCUCGGAGAGUCACUUCUUUCAGUCAUAAAAAAGAUUAGCUAUUUCAUGAACGUGUCUGAUUUUUUUUAGUUUGAUUUUAGAUAUUUUCCUUCGAAUGAGUCAUUCCGUAGUAAGUCUGUUGCAUAAUCAUUAGCCUUAUCUAUUUCUUGAGGCUUCGGUUAUUUUUUCUUCCUUUCUUGGAAGUCUAUUAAAUAAUCACUAUCCUUAACUUGCUACUAGGCUUUAUUAGAAAUUAAAUGUAUUUUUCCUCCAACGGUUGGCAGAUCUCGUCGACAAUAAAAUAGCCAAGAGCUUCAGAGCAAUAAAAUGUUGACAAACUACUGUUGACUGAAGCAGACGCCUCCUGACCCAUUGGAGUUCCUCCCUCCGGCGGACUCGUAGUCACCGCUCCCUCCAAACUUGGUCUCCUUCAGGGCAGCAGGUCGGAGUAAUCUGGGAGUAGACGAGAGCCGGGAGUCUUCUGUAGUCUGGAGUAAUUGGGGAGUAGGUUGGAGAGGUAGGCGCUGGGAGGAUGGCGUCUUGACUGCUUUUUGGACAAAUUCUCUGGCGUUGAAGGUUUCCUCUUCUUGGCGUCUUCUUUCUGGUGUAAUGUAGCUCCUGUAAAAUAUAAAGAAAAUACUCUUAUUAAAAAUUUGUGUAACCCUUGGAUAUGGAAAUCUAGGAUUACUUAAAUAUUAAGGAAAUGUAAAAUGAACUAUGGAAAUUUGAACAAAAAAAUGAAAUAAAAUUAGGUAAGCACUGUGA
Molecule: long non-coding RNA, 1693 nt
Organism: Macrobrachium nipponense
Lineage: Eukaryota; Metazoa; Arthropoda; Malacostraca; Decapoda; Palaemonidae
Exons: 2
Source: RefSeq, a predicted model, not a curated record